UCAGCCACAAACUGCCGCCUCACAGGUCUGGGGCCUGCUCUCCUGCCUGGCUGGCUGGCCCUGUCCCACGGCCCUGUGGGAGCGGACCUGUGGGGCCAGGGAAUGGCAGCACUUCCCAUUCUGUGGGGCUGGGUGCUUGUGGCUGCCGUGAGGACAGGUGCCACUUCAAGUUUUGUGGAGCAAAGGCCCGAGUGGGCCCUGGUGCGCCGCGGAGCGGCUGAAACGCUGCAAUGCUUCCUAAAGGAUACCCAGUACCCCUGGAUGAGCUGGUACCAACAGGAUCUCCAGGGGCAACUCCAGGUGCUGGCCAGUCUGCGGUAUUCUGGGGACAAGGAGGUCAUAUCCCUUCCUGGAGCAGAUUACCGGGUCAUGCGCGUGGAUGACAAGGAGCUGAGGCUGCACGUGGCCAACGUGACACAGGGCAGAACCCUGUACUGCAGCUGCAGCAAAGACACAGUGAGAAACUCUCCUUAGACAAAUGAAU
Phyllostomus hastatus (greater spear-nosed bat) is the source of this 484-nucleotide non-coding RNA. The record is from the annotation of a RefSeq genome assembly. Lineage: Eukaryota; Metazoa; Chordata; Mammalia; Chiroptera; Phyllostomidae.